This 253-nucleotide ribosomal RNA is filed under the name uncultured bacterium. RNAcentral describes it as "partial 16S ribosomal RNA". It matches the Rfam family "Bacterial small subunit ribosomal RNA", at positions 524 to 776 of the family's 1533-position model. The record is from RNAcentral.
UCCGUAGGGGGCAAUCGUUGUCCGGAUUCACUGGGUGUAAAGGGCGCGCAGGCGGGUUAGCAAGUCAGAGGUGAAAUCCUACAGCUUAACUGUAGAACUGCCUUUGAAACUGUUAAUCUUGAGUGCGGAAGAGAGAGACGGAAUUCCAGGUGUAGCGGUGAAAUGCGUAGAUAUCUGGAAGAACACCAGUUGCGAAGGCGGUCUCUUGGUCCGUUACUGACGCUCAGGCGCGAAAGCGUGGGGAGAAAACAGG